ACCGCCAGCCACAUACCUACAUGUCCACCUAUCCAGCCCCAUACCCACGUCCUCUCACAGAUACCCGCCAAGUCAUCUAACGACCAAAAAAACAAAUCAGAAGAGAGAAGAAAUGGAGGAAAAAGAAGACCGAGAGAGAGAGAGAGAAAGAGAGAAAUGAAGAAGGAAAGAAAAAAGAGAGAUGGAGAGAGGAAGGUAAAGACGGAAAAGACAUAGAGGGAUCGGAGUG
Molecule: long non-coding RNA, 229 nt
Filed under: Prunus persica (peach)
Lineage: Eukaryota; Viridiplantae; Streptophyta; Magnoliopsida; Rosales; Rosaceae
Description: long non-coding RNA (PPER_LNC005593)
Source: RNAcentral